Molecule: ribosomal RNA, 467 nt
Filed under: uncultured bacterium
Lineage: Bacteria
Description: partial 16S ribosomal RNA
Rfam family: Bacterial small subunit ribosomal RNA
Source: RNAcentral
ACGAACGCUGGCGGCGUGCUUAACACAUGCCAGUUGAACGGAAAGGCCCUGCUUUUGUGGGGUGCUCGAGUGGCGAACGGGUGAGUAACACGUGAGUUACCUGCCCUUGACUUUGGGAUAACUUCAGGAAACUGGGGCUAAUACCGGAUAGGAGCUCCUGCUGCCUGGUGGGGGUUGGAAAGUUUCGGCGGUUGGGGAUGGACUCGCGGCUUAUCAGCUUGUUGGUGGGGUAGUGGCUUACCAAGGCUUUGACGGGUAGCCGGCCUGAGAGGGUGACCGGCCACAUUGGGACUGAGAUACGGCCCAGACUCCUACGGGAGGCAGCAGUGGGGAAUAUUGCACAAUGGGCGGAAGCCUGAUGCAGCAACGCCGCGUGCGGGAUGACGGCCUUCGGGUUGUAAACCGCUUUCGCCUGUGACGAAGCGUGAGUGACGGUAAUGGGUAAAGAAGCACCGGCUAACUACGUG